Non-coding RNA from Podarcis lilfordi (Lilford's wall lizard), 80 nucleotides. The record is from the annotation of a GenBank genome assembly. Lineage: Eukaryota; Metazoa; Chordata; Lepidosauria; Squamata; Lacertidae.
UCCCGUUCAUGCUAUAGCUUAGUUGGUAGAGCAUGAGACUAUUAAUCUGAGGACAGAGGGUUCAAGCCCUACAUUGGGCA